AAGGCCUUAGCUUAAUAAAAGUGUUUGAUUUGCAAUCAGGAGAUAUGAGUUAAUCUCUCGUAGGUCUUA
This 69-nucleotide transfer RNA is filed under the name Scaphiodonichthys burmanicus. Its description in RNAcentral is "tRNA-Ala". It matches the Rfam family "tRNA". Rfam says of the family: Transfer RNA (tRNA) molecules are approximately 80 nucleotides in length. Lineage: Eukaryota; Metazoa; Chordata; Actinopteri; Cypriniformes; Cyprinidae. The record is from RNAcentral.